UCGAACCAGGAGUAGGAGAAAUUUGCAAAAAAUUUAUCAAAUUUUAUAAGAUAUAAAUUCGACGAUCACGAUUGAAUCAGAUAAUGUCGUGGCAGGCGUAUGUCGACGAUCACUUGAUGUGUAACAUCGACGGCCACCACCUGACCGCUGCGGCCAUCCUCGGUCACGACGGUAGUGUGUGGGCCUAGAGCUCCACCUUUCCCAAGGUAGUGAGUGAUGGAGACAGAUUGGUUUGCUUGUUUCAUUAUUUAUGUGCAGUUUAAGCCGGAAGAAAUUACGGCAAUAAUAAAAGAUUUCGUUGAGCCCAGGUCUCUUGCUCCAACUCGAUUACACCUUGGUGGGACAAAGUACGUGGUUAUUCAGGGCGAGGGCGGAGCUGUUAUUUGUGGCAAGAUGCAGGUAUGUGCAGUUGCAACCACCAAAGCUAAUGCCUUUUUCAUGUUCCUUUAUGAUGUAUUGCUUGUUGUCUACGCCAAGUGGUUCUGGUCUAUGUGUUAUCGACAUGAUGGAUCUUUUAAAUGGAUUGAGUCAUUUAGAAUGUAGUAAAGUUCAAUCUGAUUCGAUUUCCAUAACUCAUAUCACCGUCAUGAUUUUCAUAUCCUGAAGUUCUCUUUUUUGGCUUGCAUAUACUUGUUGGUAGUGUUACUGAAAAUAACCGUGACGGAAGGAUUGUCUUUUGGUGUUCUAGGAUUUGUUCAUCUGUCCGAUUUUUCUGUUUUCUUUAAGUUCUGAGUAUCCUUGGGAAUUUUCACCUUACGACGGUGUAGUAAAAAUUAUUUUUUCUAUGUCAAAGAAGAAAUGUUCUUGUAUUAUAGUUGCGGUGGCAGAAAAUGUUAGUGUCUAACAACACUCUAAAUGUAAAUUUGAACCACAUUAUUGCUAAUCUAUUAUGAGGUUUAGCAUACUCGCCCAC
This is a long non-coding RNA of Malus domestica (apple), 913 nucleotides long. RefSeq lists it as uncharacterized. The record is from RefSeq and is a predicted model, not a curated record. NCBI's taxonomy places the organism in Eukaryota, Viridiplantae, Streptophyta, Magnoliopsida, Rosales, Rosaceae.